AAGUUUGAUCCUGGCUUAGGAUGAACGCUGGUAGUAUGCUUAACACAUGCGAGUCGAAUGAUGGUAACAUCAUGGCGAACGGGUGAGUACAAAAUAAGAAUCUGCCUUUUAGUUGGGUUAAAUACCUGAUGUACAGAAAGAUCCACGAUCGCUAAGAGAAGAGCUUAUUUAAGAUUAGGUUGUUGGUAGGGUAAAGGCCUACCAAGCCGACUAUCUUUAGCUGGUCUGAAAGGACGGUCAGCCACACUGGGACUGAGACAAGGCCCAGGCUUCAAACCGAAGCCAGCAGUGAGGAAUUUUGGACAAUGAGCGAAAGCUUGAUCCAGCAAUACUACGUGGGGGAAGAAGGCUCAAUUGGUCGUAAACCCCUUUCAUUAGGGAGGAUAAAGACAGUACCUAAAGAAGAAGCUCCGGCCAACUUCGUGCCAGCAGCCGCGGUAAUACGAAGGGAGCGAGCGUUAUCCGGAUUGAUUGGGCGUAAAGGGUCCGUAGGCGGCCUUGAGUAGUCAAAAGUAAAAGGUUAAAGCUCAACUUUAAAAUUGCUUUUAAAAAAAACGUCAAGGCUUGAGUUUGAAAGAGGAUAGCAGAAUUUUAUAUGGAGGGGUGAAAUCCUAAGAUAUAUGAAGGAAUACCAACGGCGAAGGCAGCUAUCUGGGUCAAUACUGACGCUGAGGGACGAAAGCACGGGUAGCAAAAAGGAUUUGAUACCCUCUUAGUCCGUGCCGUAAACGAUGAGUGCUCGUGCUCAGACGUAAGAUUUGGGCACUUAGGUAACCCAUUAAGCACUCCGCCUGAGAAGUACGAUCGCAAGAUUGGAACUCAAAGGAAUUGGCGGGGGUUCAUACAAGUGGUGGAACAUGUGGUUUAAUGCGAUAAUCCGCGCGAAACCUUACCAGUUCUAGACAUUUUCUUUUUUUUUAAGAUUAAAAAGAUAAUCAGGUGUUGCAUGGCUGUCGUCAGCUCGUGUUGUGAAAUGUUUGGUUAAGUCCUUUAACGAGCGCAACCCUUGUACUUAGUUGACUUCGGUGACUCUAAGUAGACUGCCCACUAGGAUAGUGGGAGAAAGGUAAGGAUGACGUCAAGUCCUCAUGGCCCUUACGGGUUGGGCUACACACGUGCUACAAUGGCAGUGACAAUGGGUUAAUCCCAAAAAAACUGUCUCAGUUCGGAUUGUCGUCUGCAACUCGGCGGCAUGAAGUCGGAAUCGCUAGUAAUCGCGUAACAGCAUGACGCGGUGAAUACGUUCCCGGGCCUUGUACACACCGCCCGUCACACCAUGGAAGCUGGUCACACCCAAAGUCGUUAUUCUAACCGUUUGGAGGAAGGCGCCUAAGGUAGGAUUGGUGACUGGGGUGAAGUCGUAACAAGGUAGCCGUACCGGAAG
Molecule: ribosomal RNA, 1384 nt
Filed under: Heterosigma akashiwo
Lineage: Eukaryota; Raphidophyceae; Chattonellales; Chattonellaceae
Description: partial Bacterial small subunit ribosomal RNA
Rfam family: Bacterial small subunit ribosomal RNA
Source: RNAcentral